Molecule: non-coding RNA, 24 nt
Filed under: Cricetulus griseus (Chinese hamster)
Lineage: Eukaryota; Metazoa; Chordata; Mammalia; Rodentia; Cricetidae
Source: RNAcentral
ACAAUAAAACAUGGAUUGUUUAGC